AACGAACGCUGGCGGCAUGCCUAACACAUGCCAGUCGAACGAGAUCCUUCGGGGUCUAGUGGCGCACGGGUGCGUAACGCGUGGGAAUCUGCCCUUAGGUUCGGAAUAACAGUUAGAAAUGACUGCUAAUACCGGAUGAUGACGUUAAGUCCAAAGAUUUAUCGCCUGAGGAUGAGCCCGCGUAGGAUUAGCUAGUUGGUGUGGUAAAGGCGCACCAAGGCGACGAUCCUUAGCUGGUCUGAGAGGAUGAUCAGCCACACUGGGACUGAGACACGGCCCAGACUCCUACGGGAGGCAGCAGUGGGGAAUAUUGGACAAUGGGCGCAAGCCUGAUCCAGCAAUGCCGCGUGAGUGAUGAAGGCCUGAGGGUUGUAAAGCUCUUUUACCCGAGAUGAUAAUGACAGUAUCGGGAGAAUAAGCCCCGGCUAACUCCG
Molecule: ribosomal RNA, 434 nt
Filed under: uncultured bacterium
Lineage: Bacteria
Description: partial 16S ribosomal RNA
Rfam family: Bacterial small subunit ribosomal RNA
Source: RNAcentral